UAAUAUUGUAAAAGCAACUAUGCCUGUGUUCGAGAAAUAAAAUCUUAAUAUGCCUGCGUUAAGGAUAAAACUUUCAGCCGGGCUGAGUGUGCUUGCAAUCCUGUAAGGUUUUUAGCAAUUUUGUCCACUCAGAGGUCUGGCAGUGGAUGGUUUGAAACAUUGUUGAACAGUCAUACGAAUAGAAGUUCUAACGGGGAGAUUUUUUCUGUUAAAGUCCGGAAAAGUAAUGCAUGCAUCAACAAUUUUGGAAACAUUGGACCAACUCUAUGACCUAGACUUUCCAAGAAUGAAUGUACAGCUGCAGUUGGUCUGAAAUGAAUGCUUAAUCAGGAAGGAUAUAAUUUCUUCAUCUUCAACUUUCUCUAUUAUUGUAAACGAAAAGGAACAAGUCUACAUCCAUUCGCCUCUUACUUCAAAUGGUUGUAGUAGAGUUUCCGGCUGCUCCGCCGGAGUCGUUGGCGUCGGAGACCGGUCCUUAACACUUUCAAUUUCUAUGCAAUUGAGCCAUUGAGCAAGGAGAAUUGUAUAUGGACAUUUAAAGCAUCAUGUCGGCGGAGGAAUGACCUCUUUAAGUGGAUAUAGUCAUAUUAGUUGGAAACUAUGUUACUGAAAUCUCAAAAACUGAUGUCUCGGUCUUGCCGGAUCCUUCAAACAUGCAUGCACCAUUUUAAAGAGUCCAAGCAAGCUAAAUUAUUGGACGCGAUUCAACUGAAAGGAAAAGAAAAAAGUUAUUUUUGUCUUUUACUUGUACUAUACUAUUUUCUAUUUGUAGAAAGUCUAUCUUAUUCUUUCUUUUUAUAUUUUACAAGUUCAUCCUAUUGUAUAUGC
Molecule: long non-coding RNA, 828 nt
Organism: Capsicum annuum
Lineage: Eukaryota; Viridiplantae; Streptophyta; Magnoliopsida; Solanales; Solanaceae
Exons: 5
Source: RefSeq, a predicted model, not a curated record